Molecule: small nuclear RNA, 318 nt
Filed under: Sorex araneus (European shrew)
Lineage: Eukaryota; Metazoa; Chordata; Mammalia; Eulipotyphla; Soricidae
Description: 7SK RNA (ENSSARG00000017639.1)
Rfam family: 7SK RNA
About the family: 7SK was discovered as an abundant small nuclear RNA in the mid-70s but a possible function has only recently been suggested. Two independent studies have found that 7SK RNA binds the CDK9/cyclin T complex (known as elongation factor P-TEFb). P-TEFb activates transcription by phosphorylating the C-terminal domain of RNA polymerase II.
Source: RNAcentral
GCUCAGGGCGAUCUGACUGCGACAUCUGUCACCCCAUGAUCGCCAGGGCUGAUUCGGCUGAUCUGGCUGGCUAGGCAGGUGUCCCUUUCCCCCCUCACUGCUCCACGGUUGUCCCUUCGGAAGUUGUGCACUCGAUCGAAGAGGACAGCUUUCUCCAAAUAGAGACGGACUGGUCUUCGGUUGAGGGUAUACGAGUAGCUGCGCUCCCCUGCUAGAACCUCCAAACAAGCUCUCAAGGCUAUGACCAAAAAUGAAAAAGAAAAAGAUAGUACAGUGGGCUAGUAGCUUGCCUUGCAUGUGGCAGACCCAGGUUUGACU